GUUAGAGUUUGAUCCGUGGCUCAGGACGAACGCUGGCGGCGUGCAUAAUACAUGCAAGUCGAGCGGACAGAAGGGAGCUUGCUCCCGGAUGUUAGCGGCGGACGGGUGAGUAACACGUGGGUAACCUGCCUGUAAGACUGGGAUAACUCCGGGAAACCGGAGCUAAUACCGGAUAGUUCCUUGAACCGCAUGGUUCAAGGAUGAAAGACGGUUUCGGCUGUCACUUACAGAUGGACCCGCGGCGCAUUAGCUAGUUGGUGGGGUAAUGGCUCACCAAGGCGACGAUGCGUAGCCGACCUGAGAGGGUGAUCGGCCACACUGGGACUGAGACACGGCCCAGACUCCUACGGGAGGCAGCAGUAGGGAAUCUUCCGCAAUGGACGAAAGUCUGACGGAGCAACGCCGCGUGAGUGAUGAAGGUUUUCGGAUCGUAAAGCUCUGUUGUUAGGGAAGAACAAGUGCGAGAGUAACUGCUCGCACCUUGACGGUACCUAACCAGAAAGCCACGGCUAACUACGUGCCAGCAGCCGCGGUAAUACGUAGGUGGCAAGCGUUGUCCGGAAUUAUUGGGCGUAAAGGGCUCGCAGGCGGUUUCUUAAGUCUGAUGUGAAAGCCCCCGGCUCAACCGGGGAGGGUCAUUGGAAACUGGGAAACUUGAGUGCAGAAGAGGAGAGUGGAAUUCCACGUGUAGCGGUGAAAUGCGUAGAGAUGUGGAGGAACACCAGUGGCGAAGGCGACUCUCUGGUCUGUAACUGACGCUGAGGAGCGAAAGCGUGGGGAGCGAACAGGAUUAGAUACCCUGGUAGUCCACGCCGUAAACGAUGAGUGCUAAGUGUUAGGGGGUUUCCGCCCCUUAGUGCUGCAGCUAACGCAUUAA
This 877-nucleotide ribosomal RNA is filed under the name Bacillus aerius. Its description in RNAcentral is "bacterial SSU rRNA". It matches the Rfam family "Bacterial small subunit ribosomal RNA", at positions 1 to 863 of the family's 1533-position model. Lineage: Bacteria; Bacillati; Bacillota; Bacilli; Caryophanales; Bacillaceae. The record is from RNAcentral.